GACGAACGCUGGCGGCGUGCUUAACACAUGCAAGUCGAACGGAAAGGCCCUGCUUUUGUGGGGUGCUCGAGUGGCGAACGGGUGAGUAACACGUGAGUAACCUGCCCCUGACUUUGGGAUAACUUCAGGAAACUGGGGCUAAUACCGGAUAGGAGCUCCUGCUGCAUGGUGGGGGUUGGAAAGUUUCGGCGGUUGGGGAUGGACUCGCGGCUUAUCAGCUUGUUGGUGGGGUAGUGGCUUACCAAGGCUAUGACGGGUAGCCGGCCUGAGAGGGGGACCGGCCACAUUGGGACUGAGAUACGGCCCAGACUCCUACGGGAGGCAGCAGGGGGGAAUAUUGCAGAAUGGGCGGAAGCCUGAUGCAGCGACGCCGCGUGCGGGAUGACGGCCUUCGGGUGGUAAACCGCUUUCUCCUGAGACGAAGCGAGAGUGACGGUAAUGGGUAAAGAAGCACCGGCUAACUACGUG
This 468-nucleotide ribosomal RNA is filed under the name uncultured bacterium. RNAcentral describes it as "partial 16S ribosomal RNA". It matches the Rfam family "Bacterial small subunit ribosomal RNA", at positions 28 to 507 of the family's 1533-position model. The record is from RNAcentral.